Molecule: long non-coding RNA, 498 nt
Organism: Neofelis nebulosa (Clouded leopard)
Lineage: Eukaryota; Metazoa; Chordata; Mammalia; Carnivora; Felidae
Exons: 2
Source: RefSeq, a predicted model, not a curated record
CUGAGGGACCAUUGGAGGAGUGUGCCGAGGGGCCCAGAGACCAGAGCGCGGACACAGACCAGCGCCGACCCGCGCACGCCUACGUGGCCCGGGGUGCGGGGAGGCGUCCGGGGAUAGGGCAUGGGACGUCCCUCCCCCCCCCCCCCCCCCAACCUAGAGGCCUAUGGCUGAAGGUCUCUCAUGAGACCACAGUUGCACCGGAUCCUUCCACCUUCCUGCCCCUGACCACCCGGGGUAGGGACCGAAGCUCCAGGCCCAGUGCUCUGUGCCCUUGGAGAGCAAGAGAGCGGGAGAGGGAGGGGCAGAGACAGAAUCUCAAGCAGGCUUCACGCUCAACACGGAGCCUGACACAGGGCUCGACCCCGUGACCUCGGGAUCACAUCCUGAGAUGAAAUCAGGAGUUGGACGCUCAAUCCACUGAGCCACCCAGGCGCCCCCUGAUCCAUUUUUAGAAGUGUUCUGUUUGUCUGUGUACAAAUAUAGGCUCCAUGACAAUUA